CCCUUAGAUGUUCUGGGCUGCACGCGUGCUACACUGAUAUUGCCAAUAUGUCAUUCUUAUCCGAAAUGGAUUGGGUAAUCAAGUAAUGAAAUUUCAUGUUUGGAAUCGGUAAUUGCAAUUUUAUCGUGAACGAGGAAUUCCUAGUAAGCACUAGUCAUCAGCUAAUGUUGAUUAUGUCCCUGCCCUUUGUACACACCGCCCGUCGCUACUACUGAUUGGGUGUUCAAGUGAGAUGCUUAGACCCUUGUUGCAUGGUUCAUUAUUGUGCUCCGAAAGGAAAAAGUUUCAAGCUUGAGUGUCUAGAGGAAGUAAAAGUCGUAACA
This 323-nucleotide ribosomal RNA is filed under the name uncultured eukaryote. Its description in RNAcentral is "partial 18S ribosomal RNA". It matches the Rfam family "Eukaryotic small subunit ribosomal RNA", at positions 1470 to 1796 of the family's 1831-position model. The record is from RNAcentral.